This 435-nucleotide ribosomal RNA is filed under the name uncultured bacterium. RNAcentral's name for it is "bacterial SSU rRNA". It matches the Rfam family "Bacterial small subunit ribosomal RNA", at positions 958 to 1392 of the family's 1533-position model. The record is from RNAcentral.
AACGCGAAGAACCUUACCUACUCUUGACAUCCAGAGAAUUCAGCAGAGAUGCUUUAGUGCCUUCGGGAACUCUGAGACAGGUGCUGCAUGGCUGUCGUCAGCUCGUGUCGUGAGAUGUUGGGUUAAGUCCCGCAACGAGCGCAACCCUCAUCCUUAGUUGCCAUCAGGUAAUGCUGAGCACUUUAAGGAAACUGCCAGUGAUAAGCUGGAGGAAGAUGGGGAUGAUGUCAAGUCAUCAUGGCCUUUAUGAAGUGGGUUACACACGUGCUACAAUGGUGUCUACAGUGGGCUGCAAGGUGCGCAAACCUAAGCUAAUCCCUAAAAGACAUCUCAGUUCGGAUUGUACUCUGCAACUCGAGUGCAUGAAGUUGGAAUCGCUAGUAAUCGUGGAUCAGCAUGCCACGGCGAAUACGUUCCCGGGCCUUGUACACACCG